This is a long non-coding RNA of Gopherus agassizii (Agassiz's desert tortoise), 2392 nucleotides long. The record is from Ensembl. Lineage: Eukaryota; Metazoa; Chordata; Testudines; Testudinidae.
CUAGGCACUGAUUCUCUCUCUCUCUCUGCACAGAAACACUUUCCUGGGAAGUUACAGACCUCCAGUCAGGUCCGGUUUUCCACAGCACUGCACCAGGAACACAGGAACAGGCCCCAGCCAUUGCACCAGGGAAGCAAUUCGUAAGUAGGACAGCAUGGACAACAUGACACUCAUCGCUGUGGGGGUUGUUCCCCUUCCUUUCCCCUCUUGUUGGACGCAGUCAGUACCUUAACCAGAAAACCCCCUUCUUCUCUGUGGCUAUAACAGGUCCUUCGUGAAGCAUAUCCCCCCAGCAGAGACCACAGAGGAGCAAUAUGAGUCCAUGCUGGGUGCUUCAAUGCAUCGGAGACCUUCUCCACAGCGAAGGGCCCGGGGUGGCUCACAGCACACUGGGAGGCAGCCUCUGCCGGGACCAAGUUACAGGGCUUCAGAGGUGAGUGCUGCACAGACAACGGUCCUGGCGGAAGGAUCCAUGCUAGAUCACAGAGACCCACGCUGCCAUCCGGUGCUAGCACACGAUCCCGGCAUGGAGCUCAGCAGCGCUCUCAUGGUUCCAGAGUAUCACAACCAGCCCCAGGCUAAUAGCAAUUUGAACAACACUUACCUGCACCCGGAUCCUUUCUACUACAACUGCCUGCAGAAUGGGAGAAUCCAUCAAUCAUUGAAAAAUUUCACAGGCCCUCACGACUAUGAAACCCUACAACUGAGAACGAGGACCCUGGAGCGAGCUGCUGCCAACCCAGCUGGAUGUCUCCCCGGCAAGAGACUGGAGCCCUUGCCACAGCAAAGGAGACGCAGGUUCGAGUCCAUAAUGUGCACGCUCAUGUGAUGGUAAAUUACAGAGGCUCGGCUUUGAUCUGCUCUGAGUAAACCAGGGAUGCUUAGACAUUGUGUCAUAGCAGAGUGCAGGGCACAUUUACCUUUCUCUGUCUACAAAGCCCUCCACAGACUUCCCCCCAACUUCUUCAAGGCACCGUCCUCCUCUCUGUCCCUCCACCACUGAUGCAAGGGCCUCCUCCUCUGCAUCCCUCACCCUCUGGAGCAACCUUCCAUCUUGCCGAAUCCUCAGCUCAUUUCGACCGACACGCGAGACAGGAUGUCUUUCCACAAGUUGUUGGGCUCAGCAUAGAGGUGGCUGAGCACAAUCCUCCAGCCAUGUAUUAGCCAGACUAGAGGACCACAGUGGUCCUUCCUGACAUUAGAAAUCCACAAUGCAAGUUUAGGAGAAACUCUCUGGGGCAGGGACUGUUGUUUUGUACAGCUCCUCACACCAUGUGGUCAGGAUCCAUGAGUGGGGCUCCUGGGUGCUAUGGCUUACAAAUAAUAGAUUGCAAAUAUAGCUUUCCUCCCUCCUUUCUUGCCUUUUUCCUCUCCCUCUCUACUGCUGUUUGACUCUGCGCACUGUACAAAUAGCUGGCAAUCAGUCGUCACCGUACGUUGCUUUGCAAUAGUUUGGCUGUAAGCUGCUCUUCAAUGGGGUGCUGUAUUUUACUAUAUAUAAUGGGUCCGCUUCAGAGGCACCUUGGCUAGGUUCCACUUAUUGUUCAGGUGUUACUCUGUUGUAAAUAGCAAUGAUCUCUCCUGUCCAGAACCUCUGCUGCAUGUAAGAUACACCAGGAUGCUCUUGGUCAAUGGAUAUAAGGGAGCUCCGGUUAGUGUGAGAUGGUCUGAUUUACACCACUUCUGAGUUUGACCCUUGGUCACUGGACAAGGGCUGCUGAUUUCAUGACCCCCUCAUCCCAUUUCCUGGGUCACAGUAGGGCCAGUGCAGACUUCCACUGGCUUAAGAUCAGGCCCUGAAAUCAUGAGCCUUCAGCACUUGAGCUAAAAGAGUAACUCCCUUAGCUGGCAGCUGUAGUAGACUCUUAACUACUUCUCUGAGUCAGCUACUGCAAGGAGACAGACCCCCACACUCAUAAGAACAUAACACACUCCUCUACUGUGGGUACACCACUCUUAGGCCAUGCACUGGGAUCCCCAGAUGGGACUGUGAAGCCUUCCUUCUGAGCUAAGGCACCACUAGCACUAGAUAAAGGGGACUAGGGUAAAGGAUCAAAGCGUGGAACAGAUGCCCAUGAGGAAGGAGUGGGCUGAGGUGAUAUCUCAUUCUUGGAUACUCAGUGGAAACUGUUACCAAUAGAGUAACCAAAUCCUGCAGUCCUUACUCAGGAAAAACCUCAGUGGGGAAACUCGACUGAGUGAGGACCCCAGGUCCAAUAUAAACAAGUAGAGGUGCAGGAUCAGGGCCUUAGAUUGUGAGCUCUUUGGGGGAGGGGCUGUGUCUCACCGUGUGUAUGUACAGCUCCUAGCACAAUGUGCCUCUGAUCUCCGUUGGAGCCUUGAGCUAUGACCACAACAUGAAUAAUAAAGUUAGCAACAGUUCUUUUUUUCA